AACGAACGCUGGCGGCAUGCCUAACACAUGCAAGUCGAACGAAGCCUUCGGGCUUAGUGGCGCACGGGUGCGUAACGCGUGGGAACCUGCCCUUGGGUUCGGAAUAACAGUUAGAAAUGACUGCUAAUACCGAAUGAUGUCUUCGGACCAAAGAUUUAUCGCCCAAGGAUGAGCCCGCGUCGGAUUAGCUAGUUGGUGAGGUAAAGGCUCACCAAGGCGACGAUCCGUAGCUGGUCUGAGAGGAUGAUCAGCCACACUGGGACUGAGACACGGCCCAGACUCCUACGGGAGGCAGCAGUGGGGAAUAUUGGACAAUGGGCGAAAGCCUGAUCCAGCAAUGCCGCGUGAGUGAUGAAGGCCUUAGGGUUGUAAAGCUCUUUUACCCGGGAUGAUAAUGACAGUACCGGGAGAAUAAGCCCCCGGCUAACUCCGUGCCAGCAGCCGCGGU
RNAcentral lists this ribosomal RNA (448 nucleotides) under uncultured bacterium. Its description in RNAcentral is "bacterial SSU rRNA". It matches the Rfam family "Bacterial small subunit ribosomal RNA", at positions 29 to 521 of the family's 1533-position model. The record is from RNAcentral.